Molecule: ribosomal RNA, 253 nt
Filed under: uncultured bacterium
Lineage: Bacteria
Description: partial 16S ribosomal RNA
Rfam family: Bacterial small subunit ribosomal RNA
Source: RNAcentral
UACGUAGGGGGCUAGCGUUGUCCGGAAUCAUUGGGCGUAAAGAGCGCGUAGGCGGCUGGAAUAGUCCGGUGUGAAAUCCACAGGCUUAACCUGUGAAUGCCGCUGGAAACUGUCUGGCUAGAGUCCGGAAGGGGCGAGUGGAAUUCCUGGUGUAGCGGUGAAAUGCGCAGAUAUCAGGAGGAACACCGGCGGCGAAGGCGGCCCUCUGGAUCGUUGCUGACGCUGAUACGCGAAAGCGUGGGGAGCAAACAGG